AACGCACAUUGCGCCCCUUGGUAUUCCGGGGGGCAUGCCUGUUCGAGCGUCAUUUCAACCCUCAAGCUUUGCUUGGUCUUGGGCCGCGCCGGCAACGGCGGGCCUCAAAAACAGUGGCGGCGCCAUCGUGUUCCUCAGCGUAGUAAUUCUUCUCGCUGUUGGGACCCGGUGGCCGCUGGCCAGCAACACCUAAUUUUCUAUGGUUGACCUCGGAUCAGGUAGGGAUACCCGCUGAACUUAA
This 241-nucleotide unclassified non-coding RNA is filed under the name uncultured Helotiales. RNAcentral's name for it is "sequence contains ITS2". Lineage: Eukaryota; Fungi; Ascomycota; Leotiomycetes; Helotiales. The record is from RNAcentral.